CGUGUAGGAAGAAGGCCUUCGGGUCGUAAACUACUGUCAGGAGGGAAGAAACUGUUAGGGUAUAAUACGCCCUUUCACUGACGGUACCUCCAGAGGAAGCACCGGCUAACUCCGUGCCAGCAGCCGCGGUAAUACGGAGGGUGCGAGCGUUAAUCGGAAUCACUGGGCGUAAAGCGUACGUAGGCGGCGCAACAAGUCAGACGUGAAAGCCCUCGGCUCAACCGAGGAAUUGCGUUUGAAACUGUUGUGCUAGAGUCUCGGAGAGGUUGGCGGAAUUCCAGGUGUAGGAGUGAAAUCCGUAGAUAUCUGGAGGAACACCGGUGGCGAAGGCGGCCAACUGGACGAGUACUGACGCUGAGGUACGAAAGCGUGGGGAGCAAACAGGAUUAGAUACCCUGGUAGUCCACGCCGUAAACGAUGGAUAUUAGGUGUCGGGGUUAACACUUCGGUGCCGCAGUUAACGCGUUAA
Molecule: ribosomal RNA, 469 nt
Filed under: uncultured delta proteobacterium
Lineage: Bacteria; Deltaproteobacteria
Description: bacterial SSU rRNA
Rfam family: Bacterial small subunit ribosomal RNA
Source: RNAcentral